ACAGAUAUAAAUAGAAUAAGCACAAUAUCAAAAAGGAGGGAGAGAACUGAAACUGCCUUAAAUGUGGAUGAAAUUGCAUGAAUAGUAAAAACUGAAAUUGUGGGCAAAUCUAAAUGUAGUGCAUAUUUCUAAGCAAACUAAUAAGAAUAUAAAAGAAAUAAGAAUAUAAAGAGAUUAAAAACUUGAAUAGAAACAACCAUCAAAAUAAAAAAAAUAACAACUUAGUUCAAAAUAAAAAUAAAAUAAAGCAGUCGCACCAAUAAAAAUAAAAUAAAAAACAAAAAACAAAAAUAAACAAAAAUAAAAUAAAAUAAAAAAUACAAUUUG
RNAcentral lists this long non-coding RNA (327 nucleotides) under Gossypium raimondii (Peruvian cotton). RNAcentral describes it as "long non-coding RNA (GRAI_LNC008573)". The record is from RNAcentral. Lineage: Eukaryota; Viridiplantae; Streptophyta; Magnoliopsida; Malvales; Malvaceae.